This 88-nucleotide transfer RNA is filed under the name Shimia sp. Its description in RNAcentral is "tRNA-Leu". It matches the Rfam family "tRNA". From Rfam's summary of the family: Transfer RNA (tRNA) molecules are approximately 80 nucleotides in length. Their secondary structure includes four short double-helical elements and three loops (D, anti-codon, and T loops). Further hydrogen bonds mediate the characteristic L-shaped molecular structure. tRNAs have two regions of fundamental functional importance: the anti-codon, which is responsible for specific mRNA codon recognition, and the 3' end, to which the tRNAs corresponding amino acid is attached (by aminoacyl-tRNA synthetases). tRNAs cope with the degeneracy of the genetic code in two manners: having more than one tRNA (with a specific anti-codon) for a particular amino acid; and 'wobble' base-pairing, i.e. permitting non-standard base-pairing at the 3rd anti-codon position. RNAcentral also lists the same sequence under 1 other name. Lineage: Bacteria; Pseudomonadati; Pseudomonadota; Alphaproteobacteria; Rhodobacterales; Roseobacteraceae. The record is from RNAcentral.
GCCCGCGUGGUGGAAUGGUAGACACAGGAGACUUAAAAUCUCUAGGCCGAAUAUGGCCGUGCCGGUUCGAGUCCGGCCGCGGGUACCA